This 459-nucleotide ribosomal RNA is filed under the name uncultured bacterium. RNAcentral describes it as "bacterial SSU rRNA". It matches the Rfam family "Bacterial small subunit ribosomal RNA", at positions 340 to 786 of the family's 1533-position model. The record is from RNAcentral.
UACGGGAGGCAGCAGUGGGGAAUAUUGCACAAUGGGCGAAAGCCUGAUGCAGCUAUGCCGCGUGUAUGAAGAAGGCCUUAGGGUUGUAAAGUACUUUCAUCGGGGAGGAAAAAACAAAACUAAUAAUUUUAUUUCUUGACGUUACCCGAAAAAGAAGCACCGGCUAACUCCGUGCCAGCAGCCGCGGUAAUACGGAGGGUGCUAGCGUUAAUCAGAAUUACUGGGCGUAAAGAGCACGUAGGUGGUUUUUUUAAAGUCAGAUGUGAAAUCCCUGGGCUUUAACCUAGGAACUGCAUUUUGAAACUGAAAUACUAGAGUAUCGUAGAGGGAGGUAGAAUUCUAGGUGUAGCGGUGAAAUGCGUAGAUAUCUGGAGGAAUACCUGUGGCGAAAGCGGCCUCCUAAACGAAUACUGACACUGAGGGUGCGAAAGCGUGGGGAGCAAACAGGGAUUAGAUACC